UACGUAGGCAGCAAGCGUUGUUCGGAGUUACUGGGCGUAAAGGGUGCGUAGGCGGUCCUAUAAGUAUGGUGUGAAAUCUCCCGGCUUAACUGGGAGGGUGCGCUAUAGACUGUGGGACUAGAGUGUGGGAGAGGAAAGUGGAAUUCCUGGUGUAGCGGUGAAAUGCGUAGAUAUCAGGAGGAACACCGGCGGCGAAGGCGGGUCUCUGGGCCGUAACUGACACUGAGGAGCGAAAGCGUGGGGAGCGAACAGG
RNAcentral lists this ribosomal RNA (253 nucleotides) under uncultured bacterium. RNAcentral describes it as "partial 16S ribosomal RNA". It matches the Rfam family "Bacterial small subunit ribosomal RNA", at positions 524 to 776 of the family's 1533-position model. The record is from RNAcentral.